CUCCUUGUCGUCUCCCUCAACGUCCAUCGCAGCCGCACCGUCCGACACCUCCUCGGCGGCAGCCUCCUCCUCCGCCGCCGCAGCCGCCGGUGUCGGCGCCACCCACGGCACGACGGCGAGGGCGAGGUCGCGGGGCUCGGAGCCCCGUUCCAGGGCGGCGCCAGCGAGCAGCUCCCGCACCGUCCUGCUGUCCGCCUCCCGGAGCAUGGCGCGGAUCCAGUCCGCGCGGAGGCGCGGGGCGUCGAUCCGCCUGCUGCUGCUGCUGCUGGCGUCUCCAUCACCGUACACCACCACUGCCCUCUCGUCGUGGCCAGGCGAAGGAGACGGUGCGGCCGCCGCGUCGCCCAUCGCAACGUCAUCCUCCGACGCCGUCGUCACGGCGCCGCCCAUGUCCCCGUCGACACGAGGGCCGUCUGGACACGCGAACGCGAGG
RNAcentral lists this long non-coding RNA (433 nucleotides) under Sorghum bicolor (sorghum). RNAcentral describes it as "long non-coding RNA (SBIC_LNC013385)". The record is from RNAcentral. Lineage: Eukaryota; Viridiplantae; Streptophyta; Magnoliopsida; Poales; Poaceae.